RNAcentral lists this ribosomal RNA (468 nucleotides) under uncultured bacterium. Its description in RNAcentral is "partial 16S ribosomal RNA". It matches the Rfam family "Bacterial small subunit ribosomal RNA", at positions 28 to 507 of the family's 1533-position model. The record is from RNAcentral.
GACGAACGCUGGCGGCGUGCUUAACACAUGCAAGUCGAACGGAAAGGCCCUGCUAUUGUGUGGUGCUCUAGUGGCGAACGGGUGAGUAACACGUGAGUAACCUGCCCUUGACUUUGGGAUAACUUCAGGAAACUGGGGCUAAUACCGGAUUGGAGCUCCUGCUUCAUGGUGUGGGUUGGAAUGUUUCUGCGGUUGGGGAUGGACUCGCGCGUUAUCAGCGUGUUGGUGGGGUAGUGGGUUACCAAGGCUUUGAGGGGUAGCCGGCCUGGGAGGGUGACCGGCCACAUUGGGACUGUGAUACAGCCCAGACUCCUACGGGAGACAGAAGUGGGGAAUAUUGCGCAAUGGGCGGAAGACUGAUGCAGCAACGCCGCGUGCGGGAUGACGGCCUUCGGGUUGUAAAACGCUUUCGCAUGUGACGAAGCGUGAGUGACGGUAAUGGGUAAAGAAGCACCGGCUAACUACGUG